RNAcentral lists this ribosomal RNA (425 nucleotides) under uncultured bacterium. RNAcentral describes it as "partial 16S ribosomal RNA". It matches the Rfam family "Bacterial small subunit ribosomal RNA", at positions 354 to 796 of the family's 1533-position model. The record is from RNAcentral.
GUGGGGAAUAUUGGGCAAUGGGCGAAAGCCUGACCCAGCAACGCCGCGUGAAGGAAGAAGGUUUUCGGAUCGUAAACUUCUAUCCUUGGUGAAGAUAAUGACGGUAGCCAAGAAGGAAGCCCCGGCUAACUACGUGCCAGCAGCCGCGGUAAUACGUAGGGGGCAAGCGUUGUCCGGAAUGAUUGGGCGUAAAGGGCGCGUAGGCGGCCCGGUAAGUCUGAAGUGAAAGUCCUGCUUUUAAGGUGGGAAUUGCUUUGGAUACUGUCGGGCUUGAGUGCAGGAUGGGUAAGCGGAAUUCCCGGUGUAGCGGUGAAAUGCGUAGAGAUCGGGAGGAACACCAGUGGCGAAGGCGGCUUACUGGACUGUAACUGACGCUGAGGCGCGAAAGUGUGGGGAGCAAACAGGAUUAGAUACCCUGGUAGUCC